AGUCUGGCCUGCCCACUGAGGGGUUUUAAAGGCCGCGGUAUUAUGACCGUGCGAAGGUAGCAUAAUCAUUAGUCUUUUAAUUGGGGGCUGGUAUGAAUGGUCGGACGAGAAAUGAGCUGUCUUAAGUUUUGAACAUUGAACUUAACUUUUAAGUGAAAAGGCUUAAAUGGGCUAGAGGGACGAUAAGACCCUAUAAAGUUUGACAUUAAAUUAAUUAAAGGUGAUUUAGGUCAUUAAAGUCUUAUUAUUAUAUAAGUGUUUAGUUGGGGCGACUAGGAUAUAAGUGAUUUAACUGUUUUCUUCGUUCGAGUCAAGAAUAUUUGAGUGUAUGAUCCUUUUUUAGGAUUUUAGAGUAAAUUACUUUAGGGAUAACAGCGUAAUUUUUUUGGAGAGUUCUUAUCGAUAAGAGAGUUUGCGACCUCGAUGUUGAAUUAAAAUUUCUUUGUAAUGCAGCAGUUACAAGAGAAGGUCUGUUCGACCUUUAAAUUUUUACAUGAUUUGAGUUCACACCGGCGUGAGCCAGGUUGGUUUU
Molecule: ribosomal RNA, 532 nt
Filed under: Cherax setosus
Lineage: Eukaryota; Metazoa; Arthropoda; Malacostraca; Decapoda; Parastacidae
Description: partial 16S ribosomal RNA
Rfam family: Archaeal large subunit ribosomal RNA
Source: RNAcentral